Molecule: ribosomal RNA, 447 nt
Filed under: uncultured bacterium
Lineage: Bacteria
Description: bacterial SSU rRNA
Rfam family: Bacterial small subunit ribosomal RNA
Source: RNAcentral
UCCCAGACUCCUACGGGAGGCAGCAGUGGGGAAUAUUGCACAAUGGGGGAAACCCUGAUGCAGCAACGCCGCGUGAGUGAAGAAGUCAUUCGUGAUGUAAAGCUCUAUCAGCAGGGAAGAAAAUGACGGUACCUGAGUAAGAAGCACCGGCUAAAUACGUGCCAGCAGCCGCGGUAAUACGUAUGGUGCAAGCGUUAUCCGGAUUUACUGGGUGUAAAGGGAGCGCAGGCGGCGCGUUAAGCCUGGUGUGAAAGCCCGCGGCCCAACCGCAGGACUGCAUUGGGAACUGGCGCGCUGGAGUGCCGGAGGGGUAGGCGGAAUUCCUAGUGUAGCGGUGAAAUGCGUAGAUAUUAGGAGGAACACCAGUGGCGAGGCGGCCUACUGGACGGUGACUGACGCUGAGGCUCGAAAGCGUGGGGAGCAAACAGGAUUAGAUACCCGAGUAAG